CUAUUUUGUCACCACAGUCGACUAGUAUUGCUCUAAGGCGGAACAUUAAUCUGAAGCUUCGAAACUUCUGAAGGGGAAAAGAUACAGGGUAAAGUUAUCGAAAGACUCUGGCCCAUGAGCUGGCAGAAGAGAGCUUGCAAAAACUGCUACCUUCGUUUUAGCACUAGACCAACGGACUGUUGCUUUCCAGAUGAAAAAUGUAUGUGGAGUGGAAAAUGUGGACCGAAGUGAACGCAACUAGAAGAAAUUACAGAGAUGUUGUGGAGUUCUAAAAGGUGUUCAAAGAUGUGACUUCAUAUGCUACUUAAGUCAGAAACUCUUUGUAAUCAGCAGCAUUUUUGUAGAACAUAGAAUGAUAAUCAACUCCACUGAUCUGUGAAAUAAAGCAUCUGCUUCUUGGCAUUA
Long non-coding RNA from Stylophora pistillata, 405 nucleotides. NCBI's taxonomy places the organism in Eukaryota, Metazoa, Cnidaria, Anthozoa, Scleractinia, Pocilloporidae. The record is from RefSeq and is a predicted model, not a curated record.